UUGAACGCUGGCGGCAGGCCUAACACAUGCAAGUCGAGCGGAUGAAGGGAGCUUGCUCCUGGAUUCAGCGGCGGACGGGUGAGUAAUGCCUAGGAAUCUGCCUGGUAGUGGGGGAUAACGUCCGGAAACGGGCGCUAAUACCGCAUACGUCCUGAGGGAGAAAGUGGGGGAUCUUCGGACCUCACGCUAUCAGAUGAGCCUAGGUCGGAUUAGCUAGUUGGUGGGGUAAAGGCCUACCAAGGCGACGAUCCGUAACUGGUCUGAGAGGAUGAUCAGCCACACUGGAGCUGAGACACGGUCCAGACUCCUACGGGAGGCAGCAGUGGGGAAUAUUGGACAAUGGGCGAAAGCCUGAUCCAGCCAUGCCGCGUGUGUGAAGAAGGUCUUCGGAUUGUAAAGCACUUUAAGUUGGGAGGAAGGGCAGUAAGUUAAUACCUUGCUGUUUUGACGUUACCAACAGAAUAAGCACCGGCUAACUUCGUG
Molecule: ribosomal RNA, 483 nt
Filed under: uncultured bacterium
Lineage: Bacteria
Description: partial 16S ribosomal RNA
Rfam family: Bacterial small subunit ribosomal RNA
Source: RNAcentral